GAUCACUUUGGGAUGGGUUGCUGGCCACAGAGAGUGGCCAGGACCACAAUUGUCCUCAGGAUAUGCAAAAUUUGGGCCCUGAUUUUCCCUGGGGUCUGGGCAGGGAGAACUGAGGCUAGUAUGCUGCCCUCAGCUGAGGGUAUUGUCUGUGGGCAGAGAAUGUUUAUGAAUGUCCUCAGGAGCAAGGACAUUCCCAUGGACAUUCACCUUCAGAACCUUCUGAGGCUGCUUCCCUAGAGAGUGAACAUGAGGCACUGGGAAGGGUUCUCUAGGACAUUUGGGUGUAAAGACUGAGUAGCACACAUCUGGGACCCUAAGGAGCAGCACCUGUGAUGAGAUAGGGUAGAGCAAAGACCCUGCUCCUCUAGCCCUACCCUCUUUAGCUCCAUCCUCAGAGAGCUUCCUUCACUUAUUUUAACCAUCAUUGUACCUCCCCUUGCAUGGUCAUGGUUACAUGCAAUAGAGGCCACUUCAGUGCUCUCCUUGCUUCUUAAGGAAGCAAUGGAGAAUACAUGCACUUAUUUGACUUUUGCUCUCCUUCCCAUUACUUCCAUACCCACACUUCCUCUUCCCAAACUUUUUUAUUAUCUUUGCUGCCUUGAUCUGACAUUUUAAAUCAGGGAUCAGGGCAGGAUGCCUGGAACAGAUUACUUUGGGAGAAUUAUGUUCUAAUUGUGUAAUCUUGACAUAGGAAAGUAAGGGUACAUUUAUGCAUGCUCAAAACCAGUGAGGGAAGGAAAACCCAGGUGUGCAGUGAUGGCUAGAAUAGAGCACCACUUUUUUAUGUCCCAGGGAAGAACUCAGUCUUUCUGACCACCCCCACCCACCUACUCAACCUCAGUGCAAGGCCAUGCAGUUUUUCUCAAUAUGAUUCAUUGGUGUUGCCUGAGGUCAGAGACCAGGGCAAGACUAAGAAAAUUGGUGCAGACAGAUUAACAGACAUUAAUGAUACAAAGACCUCAAAUAUCUGAAUGGGGAAAGCACCUUUAGAAAUGUCAUAAAAAGUGGGAAAGAGGAAAUAUGGAAAAGAUACAAAGAGUUUCAAAAUAAGAAAUGAAUAAAGAAAAGACACAAAUAGAAAAUCAAUUACUUGCAGAUUUCUGGUCCUUUCUCCUCAUCCUCAUCCUCAGGUUCUGUUACAAUGUCUUCUCUAUGGACUAGGGCUGUAAUGGUGAAGACGUGGCCUUGGAAAAGUGAAAGGCAGAGUUAAAGUCAAGGUGGAUUGCACUCCUACCAGGAAACCUUUCCCAUUGGCUCAUACCACAAAGGCUGUUUCUACCUGCAGGCUCUUCAUCUUCGCUGCUGGAGUCAUAAGCUUGGCUGUAAAUCCAAACUUUAGAGAAACAAACAUCAGCAACAGAGUUACUUAAGAUUAUCUCAUGCUUUCUUCUACACCAAUUAAGCUCAUGGUGGGUGCUAGGGUGAGAUGUUGUCUGUCCCCCACACGAUUGUGUGAUUGAGGCUUGGUACUCAGUAUGGCCAUAAUGAGAGUUGUGAAACCUGCAUGUGGAAGGGUCUCCUUGGAGGCGAUGAGGUCAUUUGAGGGCAUGAGACUCAGAGUUAAGAAUAUAGAUUUCUCAAACCCUUGUCAAAUGCUGGUUAUAUAAGAAGAGCAAAUGAAUCAUCUGAUCCCUGCUGGCUUCCUGUCUCCCCAUGUGAUGUCUCCCUCCUGCACCUGCAUCCAUGCUGACACCACCAAUCAUGUGAUGCAGCUAAGAGGGCAUUCACUAAAGCCACACGCUUACCAGUGCCAUGCUCUUUUCUCCAGAACUUUAAGCUAAACACACCUGUAUAAAUUAGUAUAUCUCAAGUGUUUUCUUAAUAGCAGGAAAUAAUAAUAAUACAUUAAUAUUAAUAGUUAGGAUUACCCUUAUCUCUUUUCUGGCUUCUCAGACCCUCUUAAACUUUGGGGAGUCAGAGGCCUUCAACAGGAUUCUUCAAACAAUUGCAAACAUUUACGUGAGAGAGUGGAGCUGAAGGAGUCAAAUUUUAAGUACUUUCUUCCUCCUAUUGGCACAUUAUUACUCUUUCCUUGAAACAGACCAAGCUGACAUGCAAACUGUGAUGCAGACAGUUUGAAGAAUAUAAAUUCACAGAAUAGACACUGUGCCAGAAUCAGGGCAGCUACCCACAAUAGAAUGGGAAUGUUCUGCCUUAUGGACAUAGGUCUACUGGGCACUUGAAAUGUGAAACUGGGAUGAGGCUCUGAAUGUUUCAUAUUAAAAUUUGAAUAAAAUUAAAUAUAAACAUCACAUC
Non-coding RNA from Ictidomys tridecemlineatus (thirteen-lined ground squirrel), 2256 nucleotides. The record is from RefSeq and is a predicted model, not a curated record. NCBI's taxonomy places the organism in Eukaryota, Metazoa, Chordata, Mammalia, Rodentia, Sciuridae.